RNAcentral lists this transfer RNA (72 nucleotides) under Calonectris borealis (Cory's shearwater). Its description in RNAcentral is "tRNA-Lys". Lineage: Eukaryota; Metazoa; Chordata; Aves; Procellariiformes; Procellariidae. The record is from RNAcentral.
CAUUAAGAAGCUAUGCAACAGCACUAGCCUUUUAAGCUAGAGAAAGAGGACUAUCCGCUACCUCCUUAAUGA